AUGCCGGAAGGGGUAAAUUCUACCUCCAUAGUUCUUAUUCCUAACAUUGCUAACCCCUCCAGCUUGUCUCACUACAGGCCGAUUAGUCUCUGUAAUGUCAUAUACAAGGUCAUCUCAAAGUGCAUGGUGAAUCGUUUAAGGCCAUUAUUGGAUGGUAUUGUUUCUCCAGAGCAAAGUGCCUUUAUCCCAGGGCGUUUGAUUACUGAUAAUGCUCUUGUGGCUUUUGAAUAUAUCCACCACAUUAAGCAAGAAAAGGAUCCUACAAAAAGCUUUUGUGCUUACAAACUCGAUCUCUCAAAGGCAUAUGAUAGGGUGGAUUGGAAGUUCUUGAAGCAGGUGAUGGAAAAGUUGGGUUUCUCUCAACGAUGGGUGGACUGGAUAAUGUCUUGUGUCACUCUGUCAAACUUAAUGGGACCCUCUUGGAUUCAUUUGCACCGUCGCGUGGGCUUCGGCAGGGCGAUCCGCUAUCCCCUUCUUGUUUCUUUUUGUGGCUGA
RNAcentral lists this ribosomal RNA (495 nucleotides) under Triticum aestivum (bread wheat). Its description in RNAcentral is "partial small subunit ribosomal RNA". The record is from RNAcentral. Lineage: Eukaryota; Viridiplantae; Streptophyta; Magnoliopsida; Poales; Poaceae.